UCAGGCAACUGCACACCGGAUGACAUUCUAGUGUCUUCUAGAAAGGGUCUGCCACAUGACCAGUUUGUGGUCAAAGAAUUACUGCUUAAUAGGCUUCAAGUAAGAAGACAGAUGUUUUCUAAUUAAUACUGGACACUGACAAAUUCAUGUUUACUAUAAAAUCUCCUUACAUGGAAAUGUGACUGUGUUGCUUUUUCCCAUUUACACUUGGUGAGUCAUCAACUCUACUGAGAUUCCACUCCCCUCCAAGCACCUGCUGUGAUUGGGUGGCCUGCUGUGUCCAUGUUUUUUAUUUUCUGUCAACUAAAAGGAUAGCAAAUUCUGAUCAGAGAAGACUUUAAAACUCUUGACUUAAUUGAGUAAACUCUUCAUGCCAUAUACAUCAUUUUCAUUAUGUUAAAGACUCCUGAGCCCCUUCCAGUGCUGCCUGAGGUGCCCUCUACCUGUGCCUGCCUCUCGUCUGCCAGUUUGAUUUGGACUUGUUUUUCCCACCUCAGCCCCCAUGCUCUUGUCAAACGUGUUUGGCCUCCAGCCAAACAGGGCCUGGGAGGAAAAGAGAGUCCUGCUUCUGCCUGGCUUCCCCAUCGGGGAGGGGAGUUGAGGUGACAGCCUCCUGACAGCUUAGAAAUGUGGAGGACACAGCAAGUUCUGGACAUGGCCGGCCAUAUGAAUGAUAUCUUCUCUUUCUUUGAACCAUCUCCACCUGCUCUUAUGGACACCCCGCCUUGGAGCAAGGCAAGGGAUGGGCACAACUUGGAAGAUUUUGGCUUUGUGAUCCUCAGUGUCCAGUGUCACCCAGAUGGGCCGGAAGCUGCCUUUGAAGCCAACGAAUGCCAUUUGCUCUGAAAAGCAAUGAUGAGUCUCCUGAGCAAAAGCCCUAUGAGAGGACGGCUGCCCCACCCCGUUCCAUGGCUCACCAUCGCCAGCCCCCCACGCCCACCAGGUACCGCCUAGCCACACUGC
RNAcentral lists this small RNA (963 nucleotides) under Pan troglodytes (chimpanzee). RNAcentral describes it as "processed transcript". The record is from RNAcentral. Lineage: Eukaryota; Metazoa; Chordata; Mammalia; Primates; Hominidae.